CACUCCCAAGGCAUUUGCCACGGCUUUGUAAACAUCUGUGCAGCAAUACUCGACAUCAAUGGCAGCGUCUUGGUCAAGCGGAAGCGACCGAGUUUUGGGAAGGCGCGAUCUUCGUCGCCGACACACGCUGCGGCAGUCGGAUUAGAGUAGACACAACCAUUAUUUUGGACCCCGCCAGUGGGGGACGUCACAUAGACUAGUCAUCAUUCUUGGGUCGGAGCCAACUCACAUUGAGUUGAGCGGAUGUACACAGACCCCAAAUUGGAAGAACAAGAAUCAAAACAUCAC
RNAcentral lists this long non-coding RNA (288 nucleotides) under Physcomitrium patens. RNAcentral's name for it is "long non-coding RNA (PPAT_LNC005575)". Lineage: Eukaryota; Viridiplantae; Streptophyta; Bryopsida; Funariales; Funariaceae. The record is from RNAcentral.